Molecule: ribosomal RNA, 417 nt
Filed under: NC10 bacterium enrichment culture clone inoc SFBR 3
Lineage: Bacteria; Methylomirabilota (SeqCode)
Description: bacterial SSU rRNA
Rfam family: Bacterial small subunit ribosomal RNA
Source: RNAcentral
GCUGAAAGGCAGGAGUGCCCGCGAGGGAGCGCGGAGACAGGUGGUGCAUGGCUGUCGUCAGCUCGUGUCGUGAGAUGUUGGGUUAAGUCCCGCAACGAGCGCAACCCUCACCCCUUGUUGCUACCAGGUAAAGCUGGGCACUCUAGGGGAACUGCCCCGGUCAACGGGGAGGAAGGCGGGGAUGACGUCAAGUCAUCAUGCCCCUUACGUCCUGGGCUACACACGUGCUACAAUGGCCGGUACAAAGGGAUGCCACACCGCGAGGUAGAGCUAAACCCAAAAAGCCGGUCUAAGUUCAGAUUGGAGUCUGCAACUCGACUCCAUGAAGGAGGAAUCGCUAGUAAUCGCGUAUCAGCACGACGCGGUGAAUACGUUCCCGGGCCUUGUACACACCGCCCGUCACACCACGAAAGCCAG